GGACGCACCCGGUUCAUCGUAAUUCCGUUCACCAUAGCUUUUCAAGAAGGAAGGCUAUUGAAUUCUCCGUCUAAUCACAAAAAAUCAUCAACCGUUUGGAGAAAGCGUGGAUAGAGCUAGGAUAGAGCGUGCCAUCGUGCAACAAGUGCGAAAGAACAUGGAAGACUAACAUCGCUCAGCUUCGCAUCUGGUUCUUGAACCUUUGGAUCCUCCCCUUGGUCGUGCCUCCUCUUCCCAACUUUCUCUGGGAUAACAAUAAUAUAAAGUAUUCUGGAAGACUAAACGCUGUCCUUCGUACAGCUAUCCUGUUUCGGUCGAGCUCAUAAAACCAACUUUUAUCUUUGAUCAUCUGUUCCCUAAUAUGUCGGGUUUGAAUUUUGAAAUCACUAAAACAAUUCUACAUAACAAAAAUUAAAAAUACUUAAAUAUGUAUUUUUUUCUUUGUUGAAGUUUUAUUCAAAAAUGUGUUGCAGACCAAUCCCAAUUGGCAAAUUCAGCUGUUGCUGUAUUUAGUGGUUUCUCAAUCGGAAGAGGGAGAUCAUUUAAAGGAGUCAUCAGCGGUUCUUGCUGAAAAUAGGCAGCUUCCAAAACCUAUGCGCACGAAGGCAAUAACGUAAAAAACUUUCCAGCAUAAUUCUUGAUGAUUCGUCUACUUCAGUCAGGAUUUCAUUGAAGGAGAUUUGUUUAUUGGUGCUUGUAAACGAAAUCUUGUGGAAAUCAGGAAGCGACGACACACCUGGCCAAAUUUCUUCGUCUGGAGUACCUAGUACUUUGGCCAAUGUCAUUCUCUCCCUAGAGUAUUGUUUGAGAGAAAGAAUUCAAAAUCUGUUGAUCACUUUUAUUAUGCACUGCCAUUUUACCGGGAAAAGGGGAGAAUUCUUAAGCAUUUCACCAAAGAUACAACCCAUGGCCCAAAGAUCUACUUCCGGACCUGUCAUGCAACAACAUACUAUUAGUUAUUAAAUAAAAAUGCACUGUCAUGACAA
This is a long non-coding RNA of Daphnia magna, 986 nucleotides long. RefSeq lists it as uncharacterized. The transcript is spliced from 5 exons. Lineage: Eukaryota; Metazoa; Arthropoda; Branchiopoda; Diplostraca; Daphniidae. The record is from RefSeq and is a predicted model, not a curated record.